AUUGAACGCUGGCGGCAGGCCUAACACAUGCAAGUCGAACGGUAACAGGAAACAGCUUGCUGUUUCGCUGACGAGUGGCGGACGGGUGAGUAAUGUCUGGGAAACUGCCUGAUGGAGGGGGAUAACUACUGGAAGCGGUAGCUAAUACCGCAUAACGUCGCAAGACCAAAGAGGGGGACCUUCGGGCCUCUUGCCAUCGGAUGUGCCCAGAUGGGAUUAGCUAGUAGGUGGGGUAACGGCUCACCUAGGCGACGAUCCCUAGCUGGUCUGAGAGGAUGACCAGCCACACUGGAACUGAGACAUGGUCCAGACUCCUACGGGAGGCAGCAGUGGGGAAUAUUGCACAAUGGGCGCAAGCCUGAUGCAGCCAUGCCGCGUGUAUGAAGAAGGCCUUCGGGUUGUAAAGUACUUUCAGCGGGGAGGAAGGGAGUAAAGUUAAUACCUUUGCUCAUUGACGUUACCCGCAGAAGAAGCACCGGCUAACUCCGUG
Molecule: ribosomal RNA, 490 nt
Filed under: uncultured bacterium
Lineage: Bacteria
Description: partial 16S ribosomal RNA
Rfam family: Bacterial small subunit ribosomal RNA
Source: RNAcentral